UACGUAGGUGGCAAGCGUUGUCCGGAUUUAUUGGGUUUAAAGGGUGCGUAGGCGGUUUUAUAAGUCAGUGCUGAAAUAUCCCGGCUUAACCGGGAGGGUGGCAUUGAUACUGUAGAACUUGAGUCGAGUUGAGGUUGGCGGAAUUGACGGUGUAGCGGUGAAAUGCUUAGAUAUCGUCAAGAACACCGAUAGUGAAGACAGCUAACUAAGCUCAAACUGACGCUGAGGCACGAAAGUGUGGGGAUCAAACAGG
This 253-nucleotide ribosomal RNA is filed under the name uncultured bacterium. Its description in RNAcentral is "partial 16S ribosomal RNA". It matches the Rfam family "Bacterial small subunit ribosomal RNA", at positions 524 to 776 of the family's 1533-position model. The record is from RNAcentral.